Molecule: unclassified non-coding RNA, 508 nt
Filed under: Melitaea cinxia (Glanville fritillary)
Lineage: Eukaryota; Metazoa; Arthropoda; Insecta; Lepidoptera; Nymphalidae
Description: misc RNA ENSMCXG00005007858.1
Source: RNAcentral
ACUAUUACAUCUUAAUGUAAUCGAAAUAAGGAACAUUUUUAUUAAUAGUUUAUUCUCAAAAUAAUAAAAAAUGUUUGUAGAGCAAUGUACUAUAAAUACUAGUGUAGCCUCAUCAAUAUUGUAUUCAAAAUCAGUCUUUUAAACUGGUUGCUAAAGUUAAUCAAAAGAAAAAUACAAUCAAAAUGAAAAUUUUUAACAUUGUUUUCGUUGUCUUCGCUUGCAUCAUGGCUCUGAGCGCGGUGAACGCCGCUCCGUGGAAUCCUUUUAAGGAAUUGGAAAGAGCUGGUCAAAGAGUGAGAGACGCUGUAAUUUCAGCGGGCCCUGCUGUUGAGGUGGUGGGUCAAGCAGCAUCAAUAUUGAAGGGAAAGAAUUAAUUAAACAACAUUUUAUUUUAUACUAACAUAUCUAAUGUGAGUUUCUUAUUAAAUAUAUUUUAUAUUAUCUUAUACAAGUUUUCAUUUCUUAAUGUAAUCCUUAUGUUAAGUAAACUGUUUUAUGUAACAAAAGU